This 321-nucleotide ribosomal RNA is filed under the name Salmonella enterica subsp. enterica serovar Agona. RNAcentral's name for it is "bacterial SSU rRNA". It matches the Rfam family "Bacterial small subunit ribosomal RNA", at positions 901 to 1222 of the family's 1533-position model. Lineage: Bacteria; Pseudomonadati; Pseudomonadota; Gammaproteobacteria; Enterobacterales; Enterobacteriaceae. The record is from RNAcentral.
UCAAAUGAAUUGACGGGGGCCCGCACAAGCGGUGGAGCAUGUGGUUUAAUUCGAUGCAACGCGAAGAACCUUACCUGGUCUUGACAUCCACGGAAGUUUUCAGAGAUGAGAAUGUGCCUUCGGGAACCGUGAGACAGGUGCUGCAUGGCUGUCGUCAGCUCGUGUUGUGAAAUGUUGGGUUAAGUCCCGCAACGAGCGCAACCCUUAUCCUUUGUUGCCAGCGGUUAGGCCGGGAACUCAAAGGAGACUGCCAGUGAUAAACUGGAGGAAGGUGGGGAUGACGUCAAGUCAUCAUGGCCCUUACGACCAGGGCUACACACG